This 492-nucleotide ribosomal RNA is filed under the name uncultured bacterium. RNAcentral's name for it is "partial 16S ribosomal RNA". It matches the Rfam family "Bacterial small subunit ribosomal RNA", at positions 29 to 507 of the family's 1533-position model. The record is from RNAcentral.
AGUGAACGCUGGCGGUAGGCUUAACACAUGCAAGUCGAACGGCAGCACAGUAAGAGCUUGCUCUUACGGGUGGCGAGUGGCGGACGGGUGAGGAAUACAUCGGAAUCUACUUUUUCGUGGGGGAUAACGUAGGGAAAAUUACGCUAAUACCGCAUACGACCUACGGGUGAAAGCAGGGGAUCUUCGGACCUUGCGCGAAUGAAUGAGCCGAUGUCGGAUUAGCUAGUUGGGGGGGUAAAGGCCCACCAAGGCGACGAUCCGUAGCUGGUCUGAGAGGAUGAUCGGCCACACUGGAACUGAGACACGGUCCCGACUCCUACGGGAGGCAGCAGUGGGGAAUAUUGGACAAUGGGCGCAAGCCUGAUCCAGCCAUACCGCGUGGGUGAAGAAGGCCUUCGGGUUGUAAAGCCCUUUUGUUGGGAAAGAAAAGCAGCAGGUUAAUACCCCGCUGUUCUGACGGUACCCAAAGAAUAAGCACCGGCUAACUUCGUG